GACGAACGCUGGCGGUGUGCUUAACACAUGCAAGUCGAACGGUGAAGCGCUUUCCUCUUUGGCUGGUGUGGAUGGGUGGCGAACGGGUGAGUAACACGUGAGUAACCUGCUUUUUCCUUCUGGAUAACCGCAUGAAAGUGUGGCUAAUACCGGAUAUUCUCCGCCUGCUGCAUGGUGGGUGUGGGAAAGCUUGUGCCUUUGGGUGUUUCCGGUGGGGGAUGGGCUGGCGGCCUAUCAGCUUGUUGUCGGGGCGAUGGCCGACCAAGGCGGUGACGGGUAGCCGGAGUGAGAGGGGGGACGGUGACACUGAGACUGGGUCACGGCCCAGACGCCUACGGGAGGCAGCAGAGGGUAGAAAAUGGCAAUGAGCGCAAGCCAGACGCAGCGACGCGGUGAGAGAGGUGGAGGCCUUCGGGUUGUGAUCUUCUUUGGCAAGUGAGGCGGGCCUGAACCUUGUGCGGUGGUGGACGGAAGCUGAAUAAGAAGCGCCGGCAAACUACGU
RNAcentral lists this ribosomal RNA (502 nucleotides) under uncultured bacterium. RNAcentral describes it as "partial 16S ribosomal RNA". It matches the Rfam family "Bacterial small subunit ribosomal RNA", at positions 28 to 506 of the family's 1533-position model. The record is from RNAcentral.